Zalophus californianus (California sea lion) is the source of this 361-nucleotide long non-coding RNA. RefSeq lists it as uncharacterized. The transcript is spliced from 3 exons. Lineage: Eukaryota; Metazoa; Chordata; Mammalia; Carnivora; Otariidae. The record is from RefSeq and is a predicted model, not a curated record.
GAUGCCCCUCUCUCAGUGCAGGCCCCAGAAGGUCAGAGACGCAACUUCCUGUCCUGGACAAUGGCAAUAAAGAUGUCCGAGGACACUUCCCACCCUUCCCGUGCCUGCUGAGGUUCACAGGCCGAGCCUGCCCUGGGAACAGCCCUCUGGUUCUGGAUCAGGAAGCCAGCUGUGCCUCCCUCCAAGUCUGCUCUUCCCACCAAGAUGUAGAAACGGAGUCUGGGAAAGGCCACACAGCUGUUCCCUGAAGGAGCUGGGACUCUGACCCAGGGCUGCCUCGCUUCAAAGCUGGUGCUCUGUCAGCUACAGCAGGUCCGGGCCCUUCUUCCCGAUUCACUCCUAGGGGCGCUUUGGGGAUCCU